UUUCUUUUUCAAAAGAGACACUGGUAUGCCUCUCGCGGAACCAAAUUCAUACCUCAGUAAACCCGUGCCUCUCUAGGAAGAAAAAGAUACAUUUUUUUGGUUUUUGGGAGACACGACACAAAUUCAUUUGUCAGAUGAUUUGCAUGUAACUAAAGUGGAGGAAAAUACUGAAAAAGAGGCGCAAUGCCCUUGUGUUUAUUUAUGUUGGGCAUGCAUGCCUUGGUGGAAGGUAGGUAGGCAACUUACAUCAUCGUACUGCUGAGCCCGAGCCACAACUUAUUUAUGCUACUCCCGCGUACUUACGAACUACAUACACCACACAAGUCCAGCUCUCAAACGGCGCGGGCUCCAGCUCACAUUCACUUGACAGCGACCUUGCCGCCUCAGAGCGCGGCGGUUGCCAUUCUCAGGAAGGCCUCCACGGCUUCGUCGCCGCGGCCGCGGUCACCACGGCGGCGGUCCCCGCGCUCCUGCUCCUGCUGCUCGGGUCCGGCGACGAAGCCCUCGUCCUGCUGAUCCUUGGCGCGGAACACCUCCUGCACCUCCCUGGCGGGCCUGCCGAACGUGAGCUCCUGCGCGGGGUUGUCCAGCUUGCCGAUCACGUUGUUCCUCCCGGCGAGCCACACCCUCUCGUUCCUCUCGGCGUUGAUCUCGAAGCACACCACCUGGAGGUUGCUGCUGCCGCGGGACGAGGCGAUCUCCACGACCGGGUGGCCGGGGGGCACCACGAACGCCGAGCCGCGCGACACCCGCGCGCGGACCGUCUCGUACCUCUGCUGAUCCUGCUCCUCCUCCGACUCGGAGCCGGAGCCGCGUCGGCGUUGCUGCCGCUGGUCGUCCUCUUCUUCCUCGCUCCGCCUGCCCUUGCCGUGCUCGUGCUCGCGCUCGCUGUCCUGGCCAAGGUGCGGGCACACGAUCUGCACCUCGCCCUCGCCUUCCAGCACGACGGCGAGCUUGAACGACUGGGUGUUCAAGUAAGGCGCGGUCAUAGAUCCCUGUCGAUCGACAUAUGCACUCAUGUAAACAGCAGUCAAGUAACAAAUCAAGAUAUCAAGCCCGCCGCCGGUGAACUAAUUAAGCGUGGUGACGCACCGGUGUGAUGUUGGCCACGGCGACACGGACGUCGUGUUGGGCAAGGGCGUGGAAGCUCCGGGCGUCGGCCUCGAAGAGGCGGCCAUGGCGGUUGGCGAUCUUGGGGCGCUGCUCCAGGAGGUUAAAGGUGUCGCGCGAGUCGCCGCGGAACGGGGGGAGAGGCCAGUGGUGGCCCUGCCCGCCCUCGGACGCCUCGCGACGCAGCUCGCGGAGCUGCUCCUCGGACGCGCGGACGAUGGAGAUGGGCUCCU
Molecule: long non-coding RNA, 1343 nt
Filed under: Triticum aestivum (bread wheat)
Lineage: Eukaryota; Viridiplantae; Streptophyta; Magnoliopsida; Poales; Poaceae
Description: long non-coding RNA (TAES_LNC002668)
Source: RNAcentral